Molecule: ribosomal RNA, 253 nt
Filed under: uncultured bacterium
Lineage: Bacteria
Description: partial 16S ribosomal RNA
Rfam family: Bacterial small subunit ribosomal RNA
Source: RNAcentral
UACGAAGGUCCCAAGCGUUGUUCGGAAUCACUGGGCGUAAAGCGUGCGUAGGCGGCAAGGUAAGUCAGAUGUGAAAUCUUAGGGCUCAACCCUGAAACUGCAUCCGAUACUGCCAUGCUAGAGUAAUGGAGGGGUAACUGGAAUUCUCGGUGUAGCAGUGAAAUGCGUAGAUAUCGAGAGGAACACUCGUGGCGAAGGCGAGUUACUGGACAUUUACUGACGCUGAGGCACGAAGGCCAGGGUAGCGAAAGGG